RNAcentral lists this unclassified non-coding RNA (302 nucleotides) under Hevea brasiliensis (rubber tree). Lineage: Eukaryota; Viridiplantae; Streptophyta; Magnoliopsida; Malpighiales; Euphorbiaceae. The record is from RNAcentral.
GCAGAAUGCUGCAUAGUGAGUGCUGUAAGGGAUGGCAUGAAUUUGGUUCCAUACAAGUAUAUUGUCUGCAGGCAAGGAACUCCUCUUAUGGAUGAGGCUAUGGGCUUACAAAUUGGUUCUCCUCGGACGAGUAUGCUUGUAGUGUCUGAGUUUAUUGGUUGCUCGCCCUCUUUAAGUGGAGCAAUCAGGGUUAACCCUUGGGACAUUGAUGCUGUUGCCGAUGCCUUGGAACUAGCCAUAACAAUACCGGAGUCAGAGAAGCAGCUGCGGCAUGAAAAACAUUAUCGAUAUGUCAGUUCCCA